Molecule: ribosomal RNA, 253 nt
Filed under: uncultured bacterium
Lineage: Bacteria
Description: partial 16S ribosomal RNA
Rfam family: Bacterial small subunit ribosomal RNA
Source: RNAcentral
UACGAAGGGGGCUAGCGUUGUUCGGAAUUACUGGGCGUAAAGCGCACGUAGGCGGAUUUGUAAGUCAGGGGUGAAAUCCCGGGGCUCAACCUCGGAACUGCCUUUGAUACUGCAAGUCUCGAGUCCGAUAGAGGUGAGUGGAAUUCCUAGUGUAGAGGUGAAAUUCGUAGAUAUUAGGAAGAACACCAGUGGCGAAGGCGGCUCACUGGAUCGGUACUGACACUGAGGUGCGAAAGCGUGGGGAGCAAACAGG